Molecule: transfer-messenger RNA, 343 nt
Filed under: Rhodospirillaceae bacterium
Lineage: Bacteria; Pseudomonadati; Pseudomonadota; Alphaproteobacteria; Rhodospirillales; Rhodospirillaceae
Rfam family: Alphaproteobacteria transfer-messenger RNA
About the family: Bacterial tmRNA, also known as 10Sa RNA or SsrA, is named for its dual tRNA and mRNA-like properties.
Source: RNAcentral
ACCCUUUCAAAAUCAACCAAAAUGCCUAUAUUUGUGGUGCCGGCUUGUCCGGCUAUGACGCUAAACGCUUUGCGGAAUAAACGUAGCGGACCCGGGGGCGGUACCCGGCGCCUCCACCAGGAGCACACUGAACACCGAAUCACGAGCCGUAUGGCUUGGCAGUGUGCUGCUGAUGGGGGCGAAAUAGGAUCGACGCGCGUAAUAAAGGCACGGUUUGCGUUCGGCAUGGCUCCACCGUUAUCGGGCCAUUUCUACAAGUGCCAAUGAUAAUGAAAUGGUGCUCGCUGCCUAAUUAAAAGGUAAGCGCGGUUCGGGGGGCACCGGGCAACAGAAGCCCCCUACU